Apaloderma vittatum (bar-tailed trogon) is the source of this 83-nucleotide non-coding RNA. Lineage: Eukaryota; Metazoa; Chordata; Aves; Trogoniformes; Trogonidae. The record is from Rfam.
GUGCCGGUUAGCUCAGUGGUUUGAGCACGGUGCUCACAACAAUGACAACACCGAGGUUGUGGGUUUGAUUCCCGCUCGGUUCC